RNAcentral lists this ribosomal RNA (318 nucleotides) under Triticum aestivum (bread wheat). RNAcentral's name for it is "partial small subunit ribosomal RNA". Lineage: Eukaryota; Viridiplantae; Streptophyta; Magnoliopsida; Poales; Poaceae. The record is from RNAcentral.
AUGCAGCGGAGCCGUCCCCACACAUCCGGUGCUGACAGUGAUGAGCUUGCUGCUGCCUCAAGGCUGGAAGAUAUCAGCAGCUUGUACCGGGCUGUCAACUUCUACCAGAUGACCAAUCCUGAUGUAGCCAAGCUGUUCCACGUUGACCCGGAAGCAAAGCGCCCCUCACUAGUCAUGCUCAAGAAACAGGAGGAGGUCAAGUUGACCGUAUAUGAUGGCGAGUUCAGAGCGUCUGCGAUUGCCGAGUUUGUUUCCGCCAACAAAAUCCCAUUGAUCACAUACCGCCCUCACACAGGAAGCCGCCCCUCCGAUGUUUGA